This 253-nucleotide ribosomal RNA is filed under the name uncultured bacterium. RNAcentral's name for it is "partial 16S ribosomal RNA". It matches the Rfam family "Bacterial small subunit ribosomal RNA", at positions 524 to 776 of the family's 1533-position model. The record is from RNAcentral.
CACGUAGGGCGCGAGCGUUGUCCGGAAUUAUUGGGCGUAAAGAGCUCGUAGGCGGCCUGUUGCGUCCGCUGUGAAAGCCCGGGGCUUAACCCCGGGUCGGCAGUGGAUACGGGCAGGCUAGAGGUAGGUAGGGGAGAAUGGAAUUCCCGGUGUAGCGGUGAAAUGCGCAGAUAUCAGGAGGAACACCAAUGGCGAAGGCAGCUCGCUGGGACGUGACUGACGCUGAGACGCGAAAGCGUGGGGAGCAAACAGG